Molecule: ribosomal RNA, 1377 nt
Filed under: Triticum aestivum (bread wheat)
Lineage: Eukaryota; Viridiplantae; Streptophyta; Magnoliopsida; Poales; Poaceae
Description: partial small subunit ribosomal RNA
Source: RNAcentral
AUGGAGAAGGAGGAGGUCCCGCGGGCCGCGCCCGGCAAGAGAGAGCCCGGUGGAAUCGCGGCGCAGCGAGCGCGGAUCAGCGACUCCGGCGAGACCGCGGACGAUUUCAUCAGCAGGCUCCCCGACGUAGUCCUCUGCACCAUCAUCUCCCUCCUCCCCACCAAGGACGGCGGCCGCACGCAGGCCCUCUCCCGCCGGUGGCGCCACCUGUGGCGCUCCGCGCCCCUCAACCUCGAGGUCCUCACCCGGCUUCCAGACGACCCCAUCCCCACCCACUCCGUCUCCCCCUCCGCCGUCUCUGACAUAAUCUCCCGGCACCACGGCCCCGCCCGCCGGUUCUACUUCCACUGCCUCCGGGACGACGAGGUCUACGCCCAGGCGGAAAGCUGGUUCCUCUCCAGGGCCCUCGCCAACCUCCAGGAGCUUGAUGCCAGCUACGGCAACCUCCCGCUGCUGCCGUCAGCGCUCCGCUCGGCGUCCACCCUCCUCGUUGCCAAGAUCAGCCACUGUGAUCUCCCAGGCGAGAUUGUUCCAAGCUUUCCCCUCCUCAAGCAGCUCACCCUAGUGUACGUUUCCAUCUCAGCGGACGGCUUCCACACACUGCUCUCUAGUUGCCAUGCCUUGGAGAGCUUAUGUAUGUCCCAAGUUCGUGCUGCCGGUUGCCUCCGUGUUAGCUCGCCAACUCUUAAGAGCAUUGGCUUCCGUGAUAACCACAGUGAGGAAACAGAGCUGGUCAUAGAGGAUGCUCCUCGCCUUGUGAGGUUACUAUUACCCUAUUGUUAUCUAGAUGAUUGUGUGACUAUCAGGGUAAUUUGGGCGCCUAAGCUGGAGAUAAUGGGCCCUUUUGCAGCCUUCGUCUCCAAGCUCCUACUCUUCCAGAGAAAAAGCCCAGUCAGCUCAGCAAACUCGAUGCACACUGUGAAAGUUUUGGCUCUCAAAUCUUCUGAAAAUAAAUUGCACGCAGUUCUUAACAUCCUCAGGUGGUUCCCCUGUUUGGAAAAGCUCUAUGUCACUUUUCAUAAACGCUAUGAGAUGGGUGCGAAAGAUGAGCCUCAGUAUGACCCACAGCAUCCAAUUGAAUGCCUACAGACCCAUCUCAAAAAUGUGGUGUUUAAGUUAUAUUCGGGCAAUGGGAAACAGGUUGACUUUGCCAGAUUCUUUGUUUUGAAUGCGGAAGUGCUAAACAAAAUUGUAUUUGAAGUACAUGGUGACUACAGCAGUGAAUCAGUGGCUUUUCAGCACGGGCUGCUACAUGUGAAAAACAGAGCUUCUCGAGAUGUUCAAUUUGAAUUCAGGAGUACACAUGUUCGUAAUAAGUACCUUGGUGACGAGCAUAUCCAUGAUUUGUCAGUGUCCGACCCCUUCAGACAGCCAUAG